ACCUACGGGAGGCAGCAGUCGAGAAUCAUUCACAAUGGGGGAAACCCUGAUGGUGCGACGCCGCGUGAACGAGGAAGGUCUUCGGAUCGUAAAGUUCUGUUGAAGGGGAAAAAGAGCGGAGAGAGGAAAUGGUCUCCGAUUGAUAUUACCCUUCGAGGAAGUCACGGCUAACUACGUGCCAGCAGCCGCGGUAAUACGUAGGUGGCGAGCGUUAUCCGGAAUGAUUGGGCGUAAAGGGUGCGUAGGCGGCCUGCUAAGUCUGGAGUGAAAGGUACCGGCUCAACCGGUACAGGCUCUGGAAACUG
This 305-nucleotide ribosomal RNA is filed under the name uncultured bacterium. RNAcentral's name for it is "bacterial SSU rRNA". It matches the Rfam family "Bacterial small subunit ribosomal RNA", at positions 337 to 635 of the family's 1533-position model. The record is from RNAcentral.